CAGGCCAAGGGUGUGCCUUCCUGGAGUGAAGGACUUUCACAGCCCAGCUCUCUGGUAUGGACCCAAUGUCACUGACUACUGAUUCUGCUCAGCUGAAAUGUUUCGCCUGAAAAUUCUUGAAACCUUCCCAGAAUCUUGAUGUUGCACAAUUAUAGUGGAAACUACUAGAAAGGCUAGAGACUUUGGGUAGAGCCGAAGUGGUCAAGACACCUGAUGCCCAGGAGAAUGGAAGAAGCCUAAACCAAGGACCUGGUCUUUAGAGAUCACGCUCUGUUAUUUUCAGCCAUUGUUUAAUUCCAGUCAUCAUUUAUUGACUGGACCGAGGAGAAACAAGUCCUUCAACCACGAGGAGAGACUCUGAAGCCCAGUUUGCUCAUUCCCACCUGAGGUGGAUGUCCUAAGGAGGCCCGAGGCUAAGCAUGCCGCUGAUCUCUUCUACAAGUUGAUGUCUGUUGGGUAUGUGUGUGAUGACUUGAAAGAGAAGAAACUUAGAGAAGUGCUGUCAAAUUGUGGAAAGGGAGAAGUAGAGGAGCAAAAAGAGAUGUUUGAUGAAGCUCACAAGGACAAGAUGGAAAGUGAAAAUGGAAGGGUUGUAGAUGUUUGGAGACAGAAGAAAAAUAAACACCAAAGGAAAGAGCCCUCACAUACUCUGGAAUCUUGUGCCUUCUUGAAUUGAAUAAAAAUUGUACAAAAUA
Molecule: long non-coding RNA, 695 nt
Filed under: Homo sapiens (human)
Lineage: Eukaryota; Metazoa; Chordata; Mammalia; Primates; Hominidae
Description: novel transcript
Source: RNAcentral